This 150-nucleotide non-coding RNA is filed under the name Chamaesiphon minutus PCC 6605. The record is from RNAcentral. Lineage: Bacteria; Bacillati; Cyanobacteriota; Cyanophyceae; Gomontiellales; Chamaesiphonaceae. RNAcentral also lists the same sequence under 1 other name.
AACUAUAAGACCGAACUCGGUUCUACUGGGGAGCAGCCAGUAGAGGUAACGGGGAAAGUUUGGUGCAAGGCCAACGCUGCCUGGGCAACUGUAACUCGAUUCACCUGCGAAUCGACAAGUCAGGAUGCCCGCCGAGACGUAUAUUUACAU